This 2101-nucleotide long non-coding RNA is filed under the name Sorghum bicolor (sorghum). RNAcentral describes it as "long non-coding RNA (SBIC_LNC008655)". The record is from RNAcentral. Lineage: Eukaryota; Viridiplantae; Streptophyta; Magnoliopsida; Poales; Poaceae.
AGCUUUUAGUAGGUCAGUGUUUUAUCAUUAAUUAUUAUAGUUUAUGCUUAAGCUCCCAAAUAUCCCAUAUGAUCAGUUAUUAGAACCAUAGUAAGUCAAUAAGUCACAUUAAAGCAUAAUUAUACAUCAUCAUGUACCAUAUAGCCAUCAGUAACCAGUUAUUCUGUGAGUUUUCCGGGCCGCUCGUGACCGUGAGCACGGCUGUUAUAACAGUUUUACACUCUGCAGAGGUUGUGCACUUUCACCGUGAGUCGUGUUGCCCACAUGCCCGGGGUCCGUCGACCCCCAAACACUACCAAGGUGAGCGGGCAGGGUACACUAUGAAGCCUUCCAUAGGCCUAUUCUAACCAGUUAGGGCCGCGAGGUUUCCUCGGCAGGCAGAUGUAGAAAACCCCUCUUUCCUAUGGCACAUUUCCAUCGCGGCUAUACUCAUAGAAACAGGGGCAGCCCUACACCCAAAGUGGCAAGCGCCUCUUGCGCCCUUUCGGGUAACCUCUAACGAGUUAGAAAAGGUCCUAUUACUGAGCUAAAGUCAGAGCCAUAUGACUCUCCCAGUUGCACUGUAAGUCCCAGCUUUUGCUGACAGAUAAGUCCUUACGGAGGGUUUAGGACAACCUGACCAACAGUCAUUUGUACCAUAGCCCUAUGUUCCAUUUAUCAUAAUCAUGUUUAAUCAAUUAACCAUGGUUCCAUCACUAAUUUCAGAUCAUAUAAAAUUAGAGUUAGAGCACUAGCACUUCUACCCAUAUGCAAUAAAAACCCUUGGGAACAAGGUAAUUGUCAUCAACAGCUAGGAUGUCCUUAUAGUUUGCAAUAUUAUACACAUGCAGGGUGAAAUGCUUAAAAAUGAGUAGGACAACAAGGUAGGCCCAUGCUAUACUUGCCUUGAUUCACGUACUCCUGCUGGUCUUGCUGGUCCUGCUGAUCCCCAAAGAGCUCCGGACUCCCGAAAUACUCCUCACCGUCUGGGCUCGAUCAAUACAUCACAAUCAUCACGCAUACCAAGACGAACAUGCAAGAGAACAAUUCCUAAAGUUAGAACAGUACACCAGCAGUAAAUAAAUUAAAUAAAAGUUUUCCAAAAUCAUCUAUGUGCUGCUACGAUCACGUCAACGCGAAAUUCACGAAAAACGGACUUACGACGCGAAAGUUACGCUUUUAACGGGAUUUCAACAACAAUCUAUGGACUUGUAAUUAACUAGGAAAUCUAACAGUGGUAAACCUAAACAACAGUGGUACCAACGCGAAGCUUACGAAAUUACAAAACUAACGCAACUUGAACGGGUCGAUUCGGAGUUCAAACGACGAUUUUAUAGCUAAAACAAUGCGGUGGCAAUUCUGUAAUUAAGACAUAGUUUAAACGAAUUUAAAUAAAUAAGUUAAAUCCUGGAAAAUCUCUCUAGCCGAGGACUGCGGUGCAAAUACAAUAAUUUUUGGGGGACUCUUAAUCAAAAUCGCCCCCGAAGGGGUAUGGGGCUCUCUGGGCCGUUGAUCUCUUGAUGAACGCGCUGGAUUAAAAGAAAAAAAAUAAAAAAAAAGAGAGAGGAAGGGGACGGCGCACAGGCCGACUCCGGCCAGAACACGUGAAGAAUACGGUGGCCACCAUGGCCGGCGCCUGAAGCUCGCCGGAGUUGAGCGGAGGAGGGCCUACGGCUCGACGGAAAUCGCGUGGAGGUCGCCGGCGGCGGUUCUUCUGCGACUUCUCAGAACUCUCGCGAGAUGAGACAGAGCGAGGAGGAGAAAAUGAGAGGGGGAGCGGCUUCGGGCGCGGACGCUCUCCACUACGUAGCCGAGACGCGAGGAGAGGAGAACGUGGGCGCGGGGGGCGGCUUUGGCGGUUGCUGCUGAGAGAGAGGAAUUCGGGAGCGACGGUUUUGGGGGAGGGGAUGAACCUGACGGGUGGGCCCCACCCGUCAGCCGCCAGAGAGAGAGAGGGGGAGCCGGCUGGGCCGCGGGGUUUUGGGCCAAAAUGGCCGAAAAGAGGAAGGGGAAGAGAAAUCCCUUUUUAUUUUUCAAACAAAUUUUCCAUUCAUUUUCCAAAUGGAUUUUUAAUCAAUUUGACAUUUGUUUUCAAAACACUCAUCACAUAAAAGAAUGCUCC